Molecule: ribosomal RNA, 700 nt
Filed under: uncultured bacterium
Lineage: Bacteria
Description: bacterial SSU rRNA
Rfam family: Bacterial small subunit ribosomal RNA
Source: RNAcentral
CUCUNUGGUCUGUCACUGACGCUGAGGCUCGAAAGCGUGGGUAGCGAACAGGAUUAGAUACCCUGGUAGUCCACGCCGUAAACGAUGAGUGCUAGGUGUUAGGCCCUUUCCGGGGCUUAGUGCCGGAGCUAACGCAAUAAGCACCCCGCCUGGGGAGUACGACCGCAAGGUUGAAACUCAAAGGAGUUGACGGGGGCCCGCACAAGCGGUGGAGCAUGUGGUUUAAUUCGAAGCAACGCGAAGAACCUUACCAGGUCUUGACAUCCCGAUGCUAUUCUUAGAGAUAGGAAGUUACUUCGGUACAUCGGAGACAGGUGGUGCAUGGUUGUCGUCAGCUCGUGUCGUGAGAUGUUGGGUUAAGUCCCGCAACGAGCGCAACCCUUAUUGUUAGUUGCCAUCAUUAAGUUGGGCACUCUAGCGAGACUGCCGGUAAUAAACCGGAGGAAGGUGGGGAUGACGUCAAAUCAUCAUGCCCCUUAUGACCUGGGCUACACACGUGCUACAAUGGUCGGUACAACGAGUUGCGAGCCGGUGACGGCAAGCUAAUCUCUGAAAGCCGAUCUCAGUUCGGAUUGGAGGCUGCAACUCGCCUCCAUGAAGUCGGAAUCGCUAGUAAUCGCGGAUCAGCACGCCGCGGUGAAUACGUUCCCGGGCCCUGUACACACCGCCCGUCACACCACGAGAGUUUGUAACACCNGAA